UUUGCAGUGAAGAAGAAGAGAAGCAGCAUUAAACCAUCAGAGCUCUGAGAUGAAGCACACUUUGGUCUGCUUCAUCUUCCUCACAGCACUUCAGGAUGGAAACACUGGUUUGGUCAAAGCACAAACUCUCACCCGCAGAGCAGAGGAAGGAGGAAACAUCACAGUUGCAUGCAGCUUUUAUUUGUCUGGAAGCAGGAAACUGUUCUGUAAGGAAAAAUGUGAAAAAGGAAACAUUCUUGUUGAAACAUCUGAUGAUGCAGCUCAGAACGGCAGAUACAGCAUUAAAUAUGAACAAACAGAUACUCUGUCAUAUACUCUGUAUGUGAGCAUCACACAGCUGAAACAGUCUGACUCAGGACGGUACAGGUGCUCUUUGGACAGAAUUUUGAGUCCAGAUGGAAACGAUGAUUUUGAGCUGAUUGUCACAGCAGCUUCAACCACUUCAACACCAAACGGGACUCUGAGACCUUUUUCAGCUUCAGUGUUUCUCUCAUCAGCCUCCACACCACCAACAACACAGAGUUUAAGCUCAACUUCAGGAAGCUCCACACCUUCAUCAGCCUCCUCUGAAACCAAAGAUGCAAGAUCAGAUGUGCUGAUUUAUGUGGGUCUGAUUCUGGUCGUUAUGAUCGUCAUCUUAUCAGCAGCUCUGCUGAUUUUCUACUUGAAGAGCAGGACCACUAAACCCAGAGGACCUCCUGUGGAAACAGAGUAUGCUGACAUGCCGGCAGAUAACCUCUGCUACGCUGAAGUGGAGUUUUCCCACAUUCCUGUCACCAGCAGCGCCCCCUGUGGUGAAGCAACUGAUGUUGUCUACUCAAUGCCUCAGGUGGACCUGAGUACUGCCAUCCACACCAAAGAUUCUUCACCUCCUCUGUACUCUACUGUUUCCUCACUAUGAAUUACAUCAGUACUUUUUUUAAACCUGUCCUGUCCAGCAGAAUAAUGGUCUGAAUGCUUUGUUGUGCCAAACAUAUUUGCUUUCCCAAGAGGAGCAGCAUAGACUCUCUGUAGGCUCCUCUUUUUAUGUUUUUGUUUUAUUUAUUUAUUUAAUUUCAUUAUUCAUUUUUUUCUGUAUGAAUAUUAUGUUGGAGCGGACAGGGGGUGAAGGCCAGACAGGUAAAAGACAGGAGAUGAAAUCAGAGGAACAGAAGAAGAAAAGGGACAGAAAAACGAGAGAAAACAAUGAGGGUGGGGGAAAAAUCGAGGAUGAAGUAUGCAGUUAUAUAGCCUAAUGUUAAAGUUGUUUUUAUUACAGCUGCUUCUAAUUUAGUUCAACAGAUACAUAAUUUAAAAAUGUUCCUUUUAUGAUUCUGGAUAAAUUUAGUGAAACGAUUGCAGAAAACAGACUGCUAUGAAACAAGAUAUAUUUUAAGGAAAACAAAAAGUGAAGAGAUGCAGUAAUCUACAUGUUUUUAAUGAAAAUAAACAUGAACAUUGACAUUU
Oreochromis niloticus (Nile tilapia) is the source of this 1446-nucleotide long non-coding RNA. RefSeq lists it as uncharacterized. The transcript is spliced from 6 exons. Lineage: Eukaryota; Metazoa; Chordata; Actinopteri; Cichliformes; Cichlidae. The record is from RefSeq and is a predicted model, not a curated record.